CCUUGAGAACAAUCCUUACAAUAUUUUUCGGAAGUUACGUGGGUUUUUUAUGCGGAUUUCCGAAGUUAUCCAUAUUGUUAGGGUUCUCAAAGAACAUGAAUAAGCCGGAAGUCGCCAUUUUUGAUUUUGGAACUACCUCAAACAUAGUUUUUUUUGGCUCCUACACAUCAAGUCGCCAUCUCGAAUUUCAGAUCGUUCUAAAACAUUGUUUUUCGGUACCUACACAUCAAAUCCGUUACGGAAAUACCCAUAAGGAAUGAUAAUAAACCUGAAGUCAUAAUUAAGAAUUUUUGACGACCCCGAAAUUAGUUUUCCGACUCUUAGUCAUUAAAUCCAUUCCAAAAAUAUCCAUAUGAUUAGAUUUUCAAACGUUCACUGCCCAAACUUAUUCUUCGAAGUAAAUUCUCAAUAAUGUAAACUUUUUUUUUCGAAACUCCGUUUAGUUUGUAAAUGGAGAUUUCGGUGUAACACUUUUUUCGACCAUAAUUGAUUUCAAUGGCAGAAAAGGUAAUGCUCAUGAUUUGGAUCCUUUUGUUCAUAAAAUUAAGAAUUUUUUUAUGAUUCUAUGAGAAGAUAAAAUGAUUAGUCCAGUUUUUUUCCAAUCAUUAAAAUGGUAACGUAUUUCGUUCCGUGUAGAUUACUAUCAUAAUUUCUAUAUCAACAUAUUCUACAAGAAAAAAAUAAUUUAGGCAUAAUUCAAUGGUCGAGAAAUACGAAAUUAUGAUCACUUGAAUACGUCUUACUUUACUAUGGAUCGCCAUUUCAUAAUUUACUCUGUGCAAGAAUGGGCAGAAUUUAAUCGUAUCUAUUGUUGUAUUUAUGUCAGCAACGUAUUUCUGUAUCUCUACCAUUGAAAGUAUGUUCAGAAAUUGAUUAUAAAAUUUUUCAGUAAUAUGAGAUAACCACAAAUAACUCAGAAUUGCAAUUUUCUGAAUUGUUUGGUAUAAACGAGCAUUAGGGUGAAAUUCAGUGCCAACACGACGCGCGAUGUUGAUCUGUCAGGCCGUGUGCCAUCGAACGGAAUAGGUGAAAGUCAGAAGGGACGAGAUCUGUGGAAUACGGCGGGUGGGGCAAGACUUCCCAUUUCAGUGUUUCCAGGUACUUUUUGACCACUUUUGCGACGUGAGGCCGACCAUUGUCGUGUUGAAUGCGCGACUAAGGCGCAUCAGUUGCGUUCGGUAGCGAUCUCCUGUGAUGGUUUCAUUCGGUUAAAAGAGCUCGUAGUAAAUCACACCGAGCUGAUCCCACCAAAUACAAAUUAUAACCUUGGCGCCGUGAAUAUUCGGUUUUGCCUUCGACGAAGUAGCAUGCCCGGGCUUUCGCAAUGAUUUUCUGCGUUUACGAUUAUCGUAUCGAACCCACUUUUUAUCACCGGUUACGAUUCGAUGUAAAAACCCCUUACGGUUUUGUCUUUGAAGCAGUUUCUCACAUACAUAUAUAAUAGAUUAGAUGUAAUAGACGGCGCUCGAUGUCCCUCGGUUUCAACUCGUACGGCACCCAGUUUCCUUCUUUCUGAAUCAUGCCCAGGGCCUUGAGACGUUUUGAAAUGGUUUGCCGACUCACUCCCAACGAUUCGGCAAGCUCUUCUUGGGUUUGGCAUGAAUCUUCAUCAAGCAAUGCUGCUAGUUGUUCAUCUUUGAAGGUUUUUUCUCUUUCACCGCCAUGUUUGACUUCGACAUCGAAAUCACCAUUUUUAAAACGUUGAAACCACUCCCGACACGUUAUUUUACUCAGAGCAGCAUCACUGAAAGUUUCUGAAAGUAUUCGAUGCGCUUCAGCUGCAUUUUUUUCGAAUUGUAACAGAAAAGUAAAACUUCCCGCAAAUGGCGAGAAUUGGGCACAUAAACAGACAUUUUCGAGCGUGAAUAAUACGAAAACAAGAACAACUGUCACUGAAACGGCGAUGACAAUUCGUUAGGCACUGUAUACACUCACUUUAAAGGCAUUAUCAUCUAGGGUAAGGGCUCUCUAUUUCAUCUCAUUUGUAAGGACGUCGCCUUCAAACCCCGAUUUAGCCACUAAAAUCACUGUAACUAUUCCAUAUUACUGCUUCAUUCGCCUUGCUCUACGUUGAGAAUUGAUUCACAUUUCUUGAAAAUUCAAAUAAUAUUUAUAAAACAGCUAAAAACACUAAUGAUGUUUUCACUACUCUGCUCCUAAUUUCAUCUCAAUGGAUUUUUAUCCAUCCUAUCGUUGAUCUUUUAUUCAUCCUAUAAAUUAGCAAUGGCGACAGCAAUCAAAACAAAAUAUUCCACUAUUACUAUCUCACCCGCAUACGCAUGGCUGCCAGAUGGCUGACGAAACGCUGCCAGCUGGAAAAAUAUGGCUGGGCAGACAUUCUGGUGACCGACUGCCUCACCGCUGCCAGAUAUACAACUCAAACGAUACAACCGUACCCACCAGAAUUUUUCCACAUUAUUAUUAUUGGUAAAAAAUUUACACGUUGAAUUAUCUAAUUAUUGGGGCACGGUGAUCGAAAGAAUUAUCUUUUAACAUUACUUUAUUAGUGAAAACAGAUAGAACAGAUAUUGACUUUCUAUGCAAAGUAAUUCAUAUUUUCUAUGAAAAUAUCUGGCAACUCUGUGCACAGCCGAUGAAACACACACACACACACACACACACACACACACACACACACACACACACACACACACACACACACACACACACACUUCACAGCGUUAUGUUGGCGUAUAGCGGAAUGAAACCAGUGCUGCUAGAUUUGCCACAAUGGUUAUUUCAUUAGUAUUUAACACGUUCUUUCUGGUAAUAUGCGAAGCUGAAACAGUUUUAUUGAAAUAUUAAUAUCAAUAAUAUAAUUAAACUAAUGUCACGGAUACCAAAAACAUACUUUUUUAAGAUAAUUUGAAGAAGAUAAACAAUUUUUGUUUUGUAACAUUAUGAGAUAACUUGGCAACUUUGCGAAACCACAUGAGAUGAAAACAAAGCGCAAUCAAGUGAACGAAGUGAAAAAUUUUCAUCUCAUAUUUUUGAAGACUUUUAUUGCUUGUCGGGUAAUUUUUUAAGUUUUUAAUCGUUAACUAAACAAGUGGCUAGUGAUUCUCUGCGGAGAAAACAGAGCUGGUCGUCUUUCACGAAAGCAUGAUCCCGCGCAGCUUCAGCUUCAUAUGAUGGGAAGAAUGAUCCAACAGGUUUUGACUUUCAAAUACCUUGGGGUGUGGUUUGAUUCCAAAUGCACGUGGGGAGGACAUAUUAGGUUUCUGAUAACAAAAUGCCAACAAAGAGUAAAUUUUCUUCGAACAAUAACAGGAUCUUGGUGGGGUGCUCAUUCGGAAGAUCUAAUAAAAUUGUAUUAGACAUCGAUACUUUCAGUGAUGGAAUAUGGAUGCGUUUGCUUUCGUUCCGCUGCAAACUCUCAUAUUAUCAAAUUAGAGCGAAUUCAAUAUCGUUGUUUGCGAAUUGCUUUAGGGUGCAUGCAUUCGACACAUACAAUAAGUCUUGAAGUUCUGGCGGGAGUUCUUCCAUUGAAAGAUCGUUUUUGGGAGCUUUCAUCGCGACUGCUAAUAAGAUGUGAGGUACUGAAUCCCCUGGUUAUUAAUAACUUCGAAAGGCUAGUUGAGCUUCAAUCUCAAACAAGAUUCAUGAGAGUAUAUUUUAACCAUAUGUCACAGCAAAUCAACCCUUCAAGAUAUAUUCCUAUCCGUGUCAGCAUCCUAAAUGUCCCUGACUCAACUUUAUUUUUCGACACAUCCAUACAGCGCGAAGUGCGUGGAAUCCCGGAACACCUACGCUCGUUGGAAAUCCCAAUAAUAUUUACAAGUAAGUUCGGGCAUAUUGACUCUGCGAAAAUCUUUUACACGGACGGAUCACGAAUUGAAGAGGCUACUGGGUUUGAUAUAUUCAACGAUAAUGUUUCGGUCUCAUUUAAGCUUCAAGAACCUGCAUCUGUUUAUAUAGCAGAGUUAGCAGCAGUUCAUUAUAGUUUGAGUGUAAUCGUCACAUUACCUCCAAACCAUUAUUUUCUUUUCACAGAUAGUCUGAGUGCAAUUAAAGCUAUUCGCUCAAACGCUGCUUGCAAAAAUGAACCUUUUUUCUUGGGCAAAAUAAAACAGUGCCUGAACGUCAUAUUGAAUAAUAAUUAUCAAAUCACAAUAGUUUGGGUACCGGCUCAUUGCUCCAUUCCAGGCAAUGAAAGAGCCGAUAUUUUAGCCAAACGUGGUGCUAUUGAGGGUGAAAUUUAUGAGAGACCGAUUGCUUUCAACGAAUUCUAUAGCGCGUCUCGCCAAAGAACACUUGCCAGCUGGCAAGCUUCUUGGGAUAAAGAUGAUCUGGGUCGGUGGAUGCACUCAAUUAUUCCUAAUAUAUCGACAAAGGCAUGGUUCAGGGGACUGGAUGUGAGUAGAGAUUUCAUUCGUGUGAUGUCCAGACUCAUGUCCAAUCACUACACGUUAGAUGCACAUCUCCUUCGAAUUGGACUUUCCGAGACUAAUCAUUGUGCUUGCGGCGAAGGUUACCGCGAUAUUGACCAUGUUGUUUGGACAUGCGUGGAGUUUCAUGAUGUCAGAUCCCAACUAAUAAAUUCCUUGCGUACCCAAGGUAUACUAUCCAAUGUUCCAGUUCGCGACAUUCUUGCUUGUCGUGACCUUCCAUACAUGAAACUUCUUUAUCAUUUCAUUAAAUCCAUUGGAGUUCCAAUUUAAAUUUUAUUUUAUGUUAGACUGUUUUCUCUUCCAUGAGUUCAACCAAUAGCCAACUAUAGGAUAUUGAAUAUAAGUGGUGAACUGAUACAAACAAUCCUGAAAUAGUUAUAAGAUCAUGUACAAAAUAAAUGUAUUUUAUUUAAUGUAAUUUAAAAUAGCAACUCGCUUGAUAAAAACAGUGUUUAGAUUAACUAAUGAGUACCAACAUACUAAUAUGAUAUUCGAAAUGUAUUAGGUUUAAACUACUAUGUAUUGUGGAUGCCACGGCGAAGAAAAACUUAUGUAUAUUGCCUAUGAAAUAAACGUAUUUAUGAAAAAAAAAGUGGCAAGUGAACAUAACUAAUUAUGAAGUCAUCCAGCAUUCAAUGGUAGUGUAAUUGUGCGAAAUAGUUAUCAUGUUUUGAGACGAAUCGAUUAGUAGAUAUUCAGAAACAUGACGAACUGUAAAUCUUGAGACGAAAAUGUGUCCUAAAUUGAAAAGUGAGUUUAUUUUAUAUGAAAAAAACGAUCACCGAAGAAUUUAAUACCAUUUCUUUCAAUAGGAAAGUGUGACAAUAGAUUUUCAAAUCAUUUUAAAACAUUUCACAGUUUGCUUCCGGUAGGUUGUAAAAUAUUAUUCAUGUUCAAAGUUAUGAGGUGAAGAGAUGAGAUGGAAAUAGGAGCUCAGAUGAAAUAGAGAGCCGUUGCCCUAUGUAUUUUGACGGAAAACAACGGAAGCAAAGUUGUACACCUGAUAUUAAAAUUGAUCAUUGGUUAUAUUAGUUGAUCUGGGCAGCCAGCUACCGAGAAAAAUAUUAAUUUAUUGUUUGAAAUAUUAAUAUCAAGUGUUUUUUUUUACUAUGUAUUCAAUAUACCGAUAUAUGUCAUUAACUUUGUAAUAUUCACGGAUUUGCGCAAAAGUUGAUUUUUAUCAUUCAAUUUAUAAUCCUGAAAGACAAUCAAUAACAUGGAAGAAGAAAACAUUUCAAAUAAAACUUUUCUCCGAAGCUAGACGGAAAUUGAUAGGUUGAAUGAAGAGAUAAUUUAGUAAAAUAGAGUGAUCAGAAGUGAAACAUUGAAAAUACCUGAAAAAGAAAUUCCUGCAAUUGGCGCCUUUUACGACAUGGAAGCAGGAACCCAGUGGAUCUAUUCUUGGUUCAUUUUUUCCGCCGGAUUCCACACGGCAUCUAGGCUGGUACUGUCCGGAGAGAGCUAAUAGGUACUAUCAAUCUCCUAGUGGACUCCAGCUCCUAAUAAUAAAACCUCUACCUCCAGCAGGCAUAAAACUUACAUUUAAAAAAGUUCCGAAAAUAGUUUUAAAGAUUUCUGUUGCAUAAUACUACUACAUUGAUACACUACAUUUAAAUUUAAGUUAGUGAAAAUCUAUUCAAUCAUAUGUGAGAAAGUAAAGUUAGCUCCAUUUUAUCAUAUUGUAUUAUUAUUGCCGGUACUUCCGGAACCGAAAGCUGGAUAUCGGUAUAGUGACAUUUGGUUCAUUCAACCAUAUACUAAUAUGACCUACACAUUUUUUUACGAUUCUCUAUGACGAUUUGAAUUUUGGGAAAAAUGUAUAGGUAGUCGGACUUGGAUAAAAUUUAGCAAAUCAUUUAUGGUUUAUUUGGUAACCGAGUCUCAUGGUCUGCAAACUAUAGAAAGUCACUAGCCAAUAUAAAGAGGUAGCUUAUCAACAAAGUAAUCGUGAAAUUGACGUUUUCAUACUGAGCACCCUAUCUCCGGAAUCUCAGGGGUUUGAACCGAAUGAAAAUUGGGAUAUUCUUAUGGCAUCUUAAGAAUUUCCAUCUCCGAGAAAAGUAAGUGACAUUUUUUGUGCAUAUCACCCUGUAAUUCCGGAACUGGAACUGGAGACCUUUUAUACCUUUGUGAAAAUCGGUUAAGCCAUCUCCAAGAAAAGUGAGUGACAAUAUUUGUCACACACACACAGACAUUUGCUCAGCUCGUCGAGCUGAGUCGAAUGGUAUAUGACAUUCGAUCCUCCGGGCCUCGGUUCAAAAGUCGGUUUUCGCAGUGAUUGUAUAGCCUUUCUAUAUGAGAAAGGCAAAACUGAUUAAUAUUCGAAUAAGUUUUUUUUUGUGGAAUUACAACUGGUUUGUUGUUUAUCUAGUUUGUGAAUUGCGUAUGAUUUCGGUAUAUGAAACUGAUAUACACUGCUAUUUGCUUCAGAUACAACAAUUUAACAAAUGUGUUUUUACCCUUCCCAAAAGUUACCCACGAAAAUACAAAAAUACGAGUUUUGUGUUAUAAAUUGAAAAUAUUUGGUUUCAUUUGAUGUUUUGACAUGUUAUACGUCGGACGUUAUCACCAUUUUAUUCAUCGUUUUAUGGAAAAUUCAAUUAUUCCAACAUUUUUGUAGCAAUUCUACAAGUAAAGCACUAAAAGUUUGCAAAAUCUAGACCAUCAAUGAACUAGUAACACGUGCGAUUAUCGAUACUCGGAAGUGUAGAAAAAUCAUGUCAGUUCUAUUCGUAUUCACGCCAUCCAGUUCGGUCUCUGACAUUACCCAUCCGUCUUUUGUAAAAUUUGGUCGAAUUUCAAUUUUCAAUCUAAUAGAAUGGGACUGGUUCCCGCUACUUGAAAACGCUCUGCGUUCAUGAUUCUUAUUCAUAUUCGAUGAAUAUGAUAAAAUACUAAAGUGGAAAAGAUUCUCACCAUUUUCCAUCCUAUUAAUCAUCAGAACUCUUGGAUUGCUUUUGUUUCCAGUUGCUUCCGACUUGUUCCCCUAUUGAUUAGCAUAUCCGCUUGCAUCCGUUUCUUCAACGGUCAUAUGCAUUAUUCGCAGUGGCAGGCAGGUCAGAAAAAUGGCGAAAAAUUCCAGCUUUGCUGCCGUCAGUUCGUGUGGGUGCCGGAGAAGUAUGGAAUACAUCUCGGGUGAUUGGAAUAACAACUUUUCCACAGCGCGGGGCCAGUGACUAAAACAAAUCUGCAUCUUGCUAAAGCACAAACUACCUUCGUACGUACCUUCGGUUCGGUUCAGCAUACUUACCGGUGCGCUCAGCCUAGCGUGCAGGAACUGCUGUACAACCUUUUAGUUUAGAUUGAACGCCCCAGGACCAGUUUCCGAUUAGGGCGACACCGGAACGCCGGACGACGCUGGGGGGUGGGGGAAUAAAAAAAAGACGCCCGGUGUAUUACGUUUCCCGAAGGUGUUGAUUGCCGGCGACAAAAUUAGUCGCCGGUUGGAUGAGGUAUGUGUGUGUGUGUUCGAGUGCUUUUGUUGGGAUUUAUAUGAAUAAUAAGAUAUGGAGAACUGUUCGGAACUGGCACUUAGGGAAUUGUAUGGAAAUGCAUUGAAAGGAAGCUGGCUUGAUUGGAGACAACAUAUUUCUGUUUACUGUUUUUUUUUUGUCUUGCUGAAUAUGAAAAUUUCUCAGUCGGAUGCGGAUGGAAAUUCAGCUAUUCGGAAAGUCACAAUAGCACACUCACCUAAGUUCAGCUCGCCUACCUGCGUACCAAACCACCAUCCCUAGUCGUGUUUCCUUGAUCGGUCGAAAACGGUCCCCUCUCCAGCAUUGAUCUAAUCAAUCAAAAUCGAUGGCUAUCCGUUGAAGUGAUUGGGUAUUCGAAUGAAUGAGAAAGCAAGUGUAAUAUUAAGAAACGUCCGUCUGCACGGAAUGUUUGGUGGUUUCACCAUCAUCAUGACAUGCAAUCCAGCUGCAUUGCCCUGGAAUUUGGAGCUCUGGUGAAAGAUAUCCAGCACGUGGCACGUGAACCUAAAUUUCAUUUGAUUAAUCGACUUCGGUUGGUUCCAACGAAUGUGUUCCCGAAACCCGACGGUAUUUAUCUGCCCUUGGGGAAUCGCGUUUGCCCCUGAUUAAAUGAAAUCAUAAGGUAUCGUUUCUUCUGGUUUGCUUUGAUUUUUAGAUUGUUUAAUGUUCUAAUUAUGUUAAUGAAUUGAUGAGAAUAUUUUUGAAAAGUUGAAAACUUGUUUUUUUGCUUUGCAGUAGCGGUAUAUUUAAUUGACAAACAAAAAUGGAUAGUUAAAAAAAAGUUUGUACGAUCAUCGGAAGCCUCUGUCAAUAUUUUAGCCUACAGUUCUGAAACUCAAUUGUGUCAUUUCUCUUUUCUAUUUCAGGUAACUAUAUUUUACAGCUUGAAUACUGUGUUACUAGCUAACGAAGUUUGUGUUGAUACUAACAGAUUAGCUAGCCAGUCAUUCUAUUAAACACCAUAUCCACACUUUAAAAAAAACUACCCACAAUUUGUAACAUAAACAUCUAAUCGAAUCGUUUUCACUACAUGCGGCCUUGUGCUUCACGAAAUCGAAGGUAAAUCAAGCAAUAACAAAGACAUCUGUGGCGACGACAAACACAAAGAGGAUGGAGACCCGUGGAACGUCGAGGCACAGGCGGCGUUUCUGGGACCGAACCUGUGGGACAAAACGCUACCCUACGACUCUGAUCUCA
Malaya genurostris is the source of this 9061-nucleotide RNA transcript. It is a transcript of the gene named hepatic leukemia factor, with no coding region annotated. Lineage: Eukaryota; Metazoa; Arthropoda; Insecta; Diptera; Culicidae. The transcript has 2 exons. The record is from RefSeq and is a predicted model, not a curated record.